Molecule: ribosomal RNA, 915 nt
Filed under: uncultured archaeon
Lineage: Archaea
Description: bacterial SSU rRNA
Rfam family: Archaeal small subunit ribosomal RNA
Source: RNAcentral
UUCCGGUUGAUCCUGCCGGAGGCUACUGCUAUUGGAGUUCGAUUAAGCCAUGCGAGUCUAAGGGACUUCGGUCCCUGGCAUAAUGCUCAGUAACAAGUGGAUAAUCUGCCCUUAGGUGAGGAAUAAACCCGGGAAACUGGGGCUAAUACCUCAUAGACACAGAAAGCUGGAAUGCUCCUGUGUUAAAAGCUCCGGCGCCUAAGGAUGAGUCUGCUCCCUAUCAUGGUUGUAGUCAGGGUAAUGACCUGACUAGCCAGCGACGGGUACGGGGUGUGAGAGCACUUGCCCGGAGAUGGUUUCUGAGACACGAAACCAGGCCCUACGGGGCGCAGCAGGCGCGAAAACUUCGCAAUGCGGGAAACCGUGACGAGGGAACUCCAAGUGUCUAUGCAAUGCAUAGACUGUUUUUCAGCUUAAAUCGCUGUUAGAGUAAGGGGUGGGUAAGACCGGUGCCAGCCGCCGCGGUAACACCGGCACCCCGAGUGGUAGCCACUAUUAUUGGGCCUAAAGCGUUCGUAGCCGGUUUGGUAAAUUCUUGGGUAAAUCGUACCGCUUAACGGUGCGGAUUCCGGGGACACUACCAGACUUGAGACUGGGGGAGAUCAGAGGUACUUGCGGGGGAGCGGUGAAAUGUUGUAAUCCCGCAGGGACCACCAGUGGCGAAGGCGUCUGAUCAGAACGGUUCUGACGGUGAGGAACGAAACCCUGGGGCGCAAACGGGAUUAGAUACCCCGGUAGUCCAGGGCGUAAACGCUGCUGACUUGGUGUUGGAGAUCCUACGAGGGUGUCCAGUGCUGGCGCGAAGGUAUUAAGUCAGCCGCCUGGGGAGUACGGUCGCAAGACUGAAACUUAAAGGAAUUGGCGGGGAGCACUGCAACGUGUGGAGCGUGCGGUUUAAUUGGAUUCAACGCCGGG